UCUCCCCAAGAAGAUUACUGAGGAGUCCAAACACAACUGCAAGAAACAGCAUUUCUUGAAUUUGGAUAUUGGAAACAAUGAGCACAUCUGAAUCAUCUACAGUUCUCAAGCCAUGAAAGCAAAUAGCUUGCUACUGAGAGGGAAGGCAAAUUUCUGGCUGCUCUGAAAAGCCCAGGAAUUACAGUUUCCAUGUAAAGCAGGAGACAAUCUUGCUGCUAAUAACAUCACUCUCCUUCCAAAAGCAUGCAUGACAAAAUCCAAAGCAUUUCUCUGUUUCUUCACGGCGUCUGGCAGCAGCCAUGCACCACAGAGAGCUGCCUCUUGCAUGUGCAUGUAUCCUGGGCCUCACUGGCUUUGUCCAGAAGCUGGGGUGGAACCAUCUCCAUUGCUGAACCAGUCUGUCUGGAAAAUUUGUGUUCUAGCGGAUUGAAAGGCAGGCUGAACCCUGGCAACACCCCUGCUUUGGAUCUCUGCCUAGAACCUUUAUUUCUUCAGUGCUCUCUGGAAACAUGCAGCAGCUGCAGGCUUUCUGUAGGACCCCCACACCAGCAAUCUUCCCCCAGAAUGGAAGCACGUGGCAUGGCAAGUCUAAACCGUACUGACAGCCUGGAGCAUCUUAAUUUUUCAACACCGGAUUCUUUAUUUUGUUCCCAUCUUACAGAAACAAUAGCAGUCACCAAGCAGCUUAUUAAACCAGGGUCAAAUCCUGAAUAGAUGCUUUGCUCACAGCUUUGUUCUUAAUUAGACAAACACCCUCUGAAGUCACCAGAAGUGCCAAUCAAAGGCACAUUUUAUUUUGUGACCACAAGGAAAGGGAUUGAAAGAAUUUACAUCAGCUGCUGAGCAUAUGCUCUAAUGACCACCACUGGAUUAUUAGUAGUGACCUAGAUGUAGAAAGCUUUGAUCUUCUUACUCCUGGUUUAUUAUCCAGUUUCUAGAUCUCUUAAGGUCAACCAGAAUGAAUAAAAAUUAGGAUGGGUAGAAAUUGUGUGUGAUCCAAGGAAGAGGACCAUGAAAUAUCGAUCCCAGACAUUUCACUGACUAAAGCAGGCAGACACCAGUAAACAUGAUUAAUAAGAGCAAGCCAGGAAACAGCAUUACAUUUCAAAGAAGUCUAGGGGUGAAUAGCUUGAGGAAAUGAGAUACAAAGUCCUUCCCAUGUAGGUCACCCGUUUUAAUCCAACUCUGCUCAUAGCAAACUCCAGUCAUUCAUAUCUGAUAGCUGUCUGGCAGCCACGUAGAAUGAGAUGGUGGUCUUUGUUUAAUUGCUAGUGCUAUCUGCAAAACAUACAAAAUCAACAGAAUUGCAAUGCUGCAAAAAGUCUAAGCAGGAAGGUCAAGGACUGACUGGGCUUUGACAGAGGAUCUCUACCCCCUUACCAAAAAGCUUCAUUUCCUAUUAGUGUCAACCUGAUAUAUUUCAAGGGUAAUAAAUCUUUGUGGGUGAACAGAGGAUAAAGAGAGCAAAAAACAGUUCAAAGAGAGCUGUGGUACCUUUGCUGCCUUGAACUCAGACCAAGGGCCAGCUCCCCACUGGUGGUGCCAUGAAGUGCCAGCACAACACCAGUCCCCACUGGCCCAGGGCUGCUCCCUGCUCCUUCAACAAGAGCAGCACAAAGCCAGGACCAGCAGAUGCAAGGGCAGACACGUGGAGCCAGGGAAGGAAGGCAGAGAGCAGAUCACAGCCUCAAAAAAGAGACUGAGAUGGAGAAAGGUGCUCUGAACAAGCCUAGAGGAUGACAGUGCACAAGAUGACCUUAGCAGGGGUCUUUCCCCACAUGGAUCUGGCUUUCACAUCCUGGUCCAGUAAGAAUUUAAGAUCUGCAGUGUUGGUCCCACUCUGUCUCUCAAGGGCAUCACAGAGGGCACCAGGGCUGCAGAAACAGCCUGGCCACCUAUCACUGACCCAUCCUCAGCCCAGGGUCCCUCUCCAGAGUCACAGCAACUUGCCAGUUGAGAGGUACAGCGUGGGGAGAGGUUAAAGCUGGAAUUCACGUGAUUGGAAUAAAGGACCCACCCAUAAAUGUGGAGUAAACAGAAUUCCUUAUUGCUGCCUUUUCAAAGCCUUUUCUUUACAGUAAGAGAAAGGUCUGGAUUUCCAAAGCCCAUGUGGAAUACCUGACAUUCACCUCAGGAAAUGAGAGAAGAGA
Molecule: long non-coding RNA, 2150 nt
Organism: Prinia subflava (tawny-flanked prinia)
Lineage: Eukaryota; Metazoa; Chordata; Aves; Passeriformes; Cisticolidae
Exons: 2
Source: RefSeq, a predicted model, not a curated record